Molecule: ribosomal RNA, 447 nt
Filed under: Alectorobius rioplatensis
Lineage: Eukaryota; Metazoa; Arthropoda; Arachnida; Ixodida; Argasidae
Description: Ornithodoros rioplatensis partial 16S ribosomal RNA
Source: RNAcentral
CUGCUCAAUGAUUUUUUAAAUUGCUGUGGUAUUUUGACUAUACGAAGGUAUUGAAAUAAGGCUUUUAUUGGGUGCUAAGAGAAUGGUUGAACAGGGAUUUACUUUCUUUUAACUUUAAAUGGAAUUUAAUUUAAAAGUGAAGAAGCUUUUAUUAAUUUUUGGGACAAGAAGACCCUAUGAAUUUUUUUUUAUAAUGUUAUUUAUUGUUUUUAAGUAUAAAAAAUAAAAUAUCUUUAUAAGUUGAUUGGGGUGAUUUUUAAAUAAUGUUUAACUUUAAAAUAGGGAAAUUGGAACCAUAAUGUGUGGUUGUUUAAUCAAAAUACUCUAGGGAUAACAGCGUAAUUAUUUUGGAUAGUUCAUAUAGAUAAAAUAGUUUGCGACCUCGAUGUUGGAUUAAGAUACCCAUAUAAUGAAGUAGUUAUAUUAAGGAGUUUGCUCAACUUUUAA